RNAcentral lists this long non-coding RNA (200 nucleotides) under Nicotiana benthamiana. RNAcentral describes it as "long non-coding RNA (NBEN_LNC016867)". Lineage: Eukaryota; Viridiplantae; Streptophyta; Magnoliopsida; Solanales; Solanaceae. The record is from RNAcentral.
CUUCUAUCAUAAAUGGGAUGGACAAGUAGCAAUAUAGGUCAGGAAAAAAAACUUAAUUCACUUUCACGACCUUUUGCCGUAAAAAAAUCUACAUGAAUCAUAAAAGGGAUGGAUCCCGAAUGAGCAAAGUAGCAAUAUAUGCAGCAAAAAAUAAACUGAAUUUACUUUCGCCACCCUUUGCUAUACAAUUAAUAGGCUAG